UUAGUCUUUUAAUUGAAGGCUGGUAUGAAUGGUUGGAUGAAAUAUUAACUGUUUCAUUUAAAUUUAUUAUAGAAUUUUAUUUUUUAGUCAAAAAGCUAAAAUAUUAUUAAAAGACGAGAAGACCCUAUAAAUCUUUAUAUUUUUGUUUUAUUAAUUAUUUGGAUAUUUUUAAUUAUUAAAAAGUAAAAUAUUUUAUUGGGGUGAUAUUAAAAUUUAAUAAACUUUUAAUUUGUAAAUACAUAAAUUAAUGAUUUUUUGAUCCGUUAUUAGCGAUUAAAAAUUUAAGUUACUUUAGGGAUAACAGCGUAAUUUUUUUGGAGAGUUCAUAUCGAUAAAAAAGAUUGCGACU
RNAcentral lists this ribosomal RNA (349 nucleotides) under Anthomyza collini. RNAcentral describes it as "partial 16S ribosomal RNA". The record is from RNAcentral. Lineage: Eukaryota; Metazoa; Arthropoda; Insecta; Diptera; Anthomyzidae.